This 271-nucleotide RNase P RNA is filed under the name Nitratireductor sp. Its description in RNAcentral is "partial RNase P RNA component class A". It matches the Rfam family "Bacterial RNase P class A", at positions 1 to 253 of the family's 367-position model. Rfam says of the family: Ribonuclease P (RNase P) is a ubiquitous endoribonuclease, found in archaea, bacteria and eukarya as well as chloroplasts and mitochondria. Its best characterised activity is the generation of mature 5'-ends of tRNAs by cleaving the 5'-leader elements of precursor-tRNAs. The record is from RNAcentral. Lineage: Bacteria; Pseudomonadati; Pseudomonadota; Alphaproteobacteria; Hyphomicrobiales; Phyllobacteriaceae.
CCAGCCGGCCGGGCAGCCGCUGCCGCCAGUGCCGAAAGGCCGCGGUGGAGGAAAGUCCGGGCUCCAUGGAAACACGAUGCCGGAUAACUUCCGGCCGGGGAAACGGGUUAACCCGCCAACCCGAGGGAAAGUGCCACAGAAAGCAGACCACCGCAGCGUGCUGCGGCAAGGGUGAAAGGGUGGGGUAAGAGCCCACCGCGUCUCCGGCAACGGCGAUGGCAGGGCAAACCCCAUCGGGAGCAAGACCGAAUAGGGACAACGCGCUUCCCCG